Molecule: ribosomal RNA, 253 nt
Filed under: uncultured bacterium
Lineage: Bacteria
Description: partial 16S ribosomal RNA
Rfam family: Bacterial small subunit ribosomal RNA
Source: RNAcentral
UACGAAGGGUGCAAGCGUUACUCGGAAUUACUGGGCGUAAAGCGUGCGUAGGUGGUGAGUUAAGUCUGUCGUGAAAGCCCCGGGCUCAACCUGGGAAUGGCGAUGGAUACUGGCUCGCUAGAGUGCGGUAGAGGAGAGUGGAAUUCCCGGUGUAGCAGUGAAAUUCGUAGAUAUCGGGAGGAACACCAGUGGCGAAGGCGGCGAUCUGGGUCGAUACUGACGCUGAGGUGCGAAAGCGUGGGGAGCAAACAGG